Molecule: transfer RNA, 90 nt
Filed under: Devosia marina
Lineage: Bacteria; Pseudomonadati; Pseudomonadota; Alphaproteobacteria; Hyphomicrobiales; Devosiaceae
Description: Devosia sp. L53-10-65 tRNA-Ser
Rfam family: tRNA
About the family: Transfer RNA (tRNA) molecules are approximately 80 nucleotides in length. Their secondary structure includes four short double-helical elements and three loops (D, anti-codon, and T loops).
Source: RNAcentral
GACAUGGUAGCUCAGUGGUAGAGUCUCCCAACGGCUCGUUUGGUUAGCGGGUUAAGGGUCGGUCGGUGGUUCGAUUCCAUCCCAUGUAUA